CCUACGUGAGGCUGCAGUGGGGAAUAUUGUACAAUGGGGGAAACCCUGAUGCAGCGACGCCGCGUGAGUGAAGAAGUAUCUCGGUAUGUAACGCUCUAUCAGCAGGGAAGAAACUGACGGUACCUGACUAAGACGCCCCGGCUAACUACGUGCCAGCAGCCGCGGUAAUACGUAGGGGGAAAGCGUUAUCCGGAUUGACUGGGUGUAAAGGGAGCGUAGACGGCGCUGCAAGUCCGGAGUGAAAGCCCAGGGCUUAACCAUGGUACUGCUCUGGAAACUGUGGAGCUUGAGUGCUGGAGAGGCAGGCGGAAUUGCUAGUGUAGCGGUGAAAGGCGUAGAUAUUAGGAGGAACACCGGCGGCGAAGGCGGCCUGCUGGACCGUAACUGACGUUGAGGCUCGAAAGCGUGGGGAGCAAACAGGAUUUGAUACCCGAGUAGUC
RNAcentral lists this ribosomal RNA (440 nucleotides) under uncultured bacterium. RNAcentral describes it as "partial 16S ribosomal RNA". It matches the Rfam family "Bacterial small subunit ribosomal RNA", at positions 338 to 795 of the family's 1533-position model. The record is from RNAcentral.